UACGUAGGGUGCGAGCGUUGAUCGGAAUUACUGGGCGUAAAGCGUGCGCAGGCGGCUUUGCAAGACAGAUGUGAAAUCCCCGGGCUUAACCUGGGAACUGCAUUUGUGACUGCAAGGCUAGAGUACGGCAGAGGGGGAUGGAAUUCCGCGUGUAGCAGUGAAAUGCGUAGAUAUGCGGAGGAACACCAAUGGCGAAGGCAAUCCCCUGGGCCUGUACUGACGCUCAUGCACGAAAGCGUGGGGAGCAAACAGG
RNAcentral lists this ribosomal RNA (253 nucleotides) under uncultured bacterium. RNAcentral's name for it is "partial 16S ribosomal RNA". It matches the Rfam family "Bacterial small subunit ribosomal RNA", at positions 524 to 776 of the family's 1533-position model. The record is from RNAcentral.